CUAAGCACGUACUAUUUUUUAAUAAAUUUUUUCUGCCCGUCAAAGUCAACUGUAGCCUCUCGGGGGUAUACCAUAUAUACUGGCAACCUCGUCCCCAAGGCAUCUUGUAUCUUUUCUAACAUCGGACCUCGCCGUCCUGAGAUAAAGAAAGAGACAACAGGCUCUGGGAACGAGGUUUAUAUACUGGGUCCUUCUACAAAUCUGUACAAACGUUAAAAAACCGACAUGGUAAACCCAGGGUAUAUGUUAUAAAUAUUUAAUGUAAACAGUUGCUUCAUGUGGUGAGUUUUAAUAUCAUUAUCUUCUUUUUGUGAGUCUUGUAUAUUGUGAGUUGAAAUAUCAAGAAGAAGAAGAAAAAGAAGUUUUUUAUAAACAACACAUUAUGUAGCAGAUGUCACCCUAUGUUUUUUCUCAAUUUGGAAUCACCUCAUACACCGAACGUCGUCGAAGUUAUAAGUUUUUUCGCAAGAUAAAUGGAGAAAAAUAUUAAUACAGAAAGUGAGCCGAAACACCAAGAUGAAACGAAGAACGGACAAGAAGAAAGUAAAACAAAACAACGACAAAUGAAGGAAGCUUUAAAAGAAUUAAAAGAUCCUAAAGGAGAUUUAUGCUGCCUGGUUCGACAAUUUUACUUAGGCCAACAUGAAGUAACACCAGUCAUCGACAACAGCCUAUGCUGAUAAACUUUAAUUGAUAAUUAAUUGUGCGUAUGGCUGGACAAACUUACUAUAAUAUUACAGUAAAAAACAUGAACAGAAGGCAGGAUCCUCCCUGCCACAAAAAUAUAUCUUGUUAUUCACUGUUUCUAGGUAGGCUCUUGUAAAUAUGUAAAUAGUGAAUAUAUAUAUUCAUUUUGCAAAAGUAUAAA
Long non-coding RNA from Hydractinia symbiolongicarpus, 868 nucleotides. RefSeq lists it as uncharacterized. NCBI's taxonomy places the organism in Eukaryota, Metazoa, Cnidaria, Hydrozoa, Anthoathecata, Hydractiniidae. The record is from RefSeq and is a predicted model, not a curated record. The transcript has 3 exons.